GUGAGCCGUGUGAUGGGAAACCUUCCCGCACGGUUCGGAGAGCACUGAAUUAGAAUGAUGCCCGCCUUUUCCCUCCAGCUCCUCCCCCACAGACAUCGUCUCCUUCCUCAUCAACCGACUCUCC
Molecule: non-coding RNA, 124 nt
Organism: Populus trichocarpa (black cottonwood)
Lineage: Eukaryota; Viridiplantae; Streptophyta; Magnoliopsida; Malpighiales; Salicaceae
Source: Rfam